GGGGGGGGCAAGCGUUGUUCGGAAUUACUGGGCGUAAAGGGCUCGUAGGCGGCCAACUAAGUCAGACGUGAAAUCCCUCAGCUUAACUGGGGAACUGCGUCUGAUACUGGAUGGCUAGAGUGUGGGAGAGGGAUGCGGAAUUCCAGGUGUAGCGGUGAAAUGCGUAGAUAUCUGGAGGAACACCGGUGGCGAAGGCGGCAUCCUGGACCACGACUGACGCUGAGUGAGCGAAAGCCAGGGGAGCAAACGGGAUUAGAUACCCCGGUAGUCCUGGCCCUAAACGAUGAAUGCUUGGUGUGACGGGUAUCGAUCCCUGUCGUGCCGAAGCUAACGCAUUAAGCAUUCCGCCUGGGGAGUACGGUCGCAAGGCUG
RNAcentral lists this ribosomal RNA (372 nucleotides) under uncultured bacterium. Its description in RNAcentral is "bacterial SSU rRNA". It matches the Rfam family "Bacterial small subunit ribosomal RNA", at positions 527 to 896 of the family's 1533-position model. The record is from RNAcentral.